This 253-nucleotide ribosomal RNA is filed under the name uncultured bacterium. Its description in RNAcentral is "partial 16S ribosomal RNA". It matches the Rfam family "Bacterial small subunit ribosomal RNA", at positions 524 to 776 of the family's 1533-position model. The record is from RNAcentral.
UACGGGGGGGGCAAGCGUUGUUCGGAAUUACUGGGCGUAAAGGGCGCGUAGGCGGCCUUCUAAGUCGGACGUGAAAUCCCUCGGCUUAACCGAGGAACUGCGUCCGAUACUGAAAGGCUUGAAUCCGGGAGAGGGAUGUGGAAUUCCAGGUGUAGCGGUGAAAUGCGCAGAUAUCAGGAGGAACACCUAUUGCGAAGGCAGCUCGCUGGGACGUAACUGACGCUGAGACGCGAAAGCGUGGGGAGCAAACAGG